This 480-nucleotide long non-coding RNA is filed under the name Arachis ipaensis. RNAcentral describes it as "long non-coding RNA (AIPA_LNC000478)". The record is from RNAcentral. Lineage: Eukaryota; Viridiplantae; Streptophyta; Magnoliopsida; Fabales; Fabaceae.
GUGCUUUAUGUACUAAUAAUAUUGAUGAUUGGAACAAUUGUUUGUUAUGUUAAUGUUGAAUUCGACGGCUUUAUUCGUGAUAAUGAAAAAGCGUGGAUUCCAAGUGUUGAUGAUGCCUAUCAUCUUGACACGUGUCAUAGAAAAUGCAAUGAAGCCUAUGACACGUCAACAAGAAAAUCAAGAAAUAGAUUAUAUGAAUGCAAAAAGUUGUGCAAAAGCAUAAAUCAGUGUAUAGAAUGGUGCAGGGAGAUGUCGUGGGGAUGAAGAUGCAUAUAAGAAAUGCAUAGAACAAAGGAGUAAAGAUAUAAAUCAUUUGUUUUAGUUUCUGACUAAAGCUAUAAAUGAAGAUCCAAUUCAGAGAUGGAUAGAAAAUUUUAAAAAUGAUGAGUGCACUUGGUACUUUAUUAAUGGUAAGUAUUUAAUAGGUUUUUUUGUGAGUUUUGUUUUCUAAAAAAUAAAUGCACCUUAUACGUACUUAAU